UUUUUACAUAUACCCUAGAAUGUUGUUUCUCGAGUCGGCAAUUUGCCACUGGUGAGUUCGGCUUGCGGAGCGGUCUGCAACGCUUACACGAGCACCAAAGACAGCGUGCCCAUGCUGAAGGGAGUGAUGGAUGCGGCCGAAAGUGGCGUGCGAACCCUCGGAGCGGCUGCCGCCACCGGAUCCAAGCCUCUUUUGCACAUCAUUGAACCACAACUGGCAACAGUGAAUGAAUACGCCAUGAAAGGGCUGGAUAAGAUGGAGGAGAAGCUGCCUAUUCUUCAACGGCCAGCGGAAAAGGUCAGAAAGGAAUUUUGCCCAAAACAUUCUGACCCAUUUUUGUCCUAGUUGGUGUGGCUGGUGAUUAUAGUCAUGACUUCAAAUGAUGGUUACAAAAUAGUAAAGACACAAUUUGGGGA
This is a long non-coding RNA of Hippocampus comes (tiger tail seahorse), 416 nucleotides long. RefSeq lists it as uncharacterized. NCBI's taxonomy places the organism in Eukaryota, Metazoa, Chordata, Actinopteri, Syngnathiformes, Syngnathidae. The record is from RefSeq and is a predicted model, not a curated record. The transcript has 2 exons.